UAGCAUAAUGGUUAUGCAAAAGCCUUCAGUGCUUAAGACUCUGGGGUCCCAGGUUCAAUCCCUGG
Molecule: transfer RNA, 65 nt
Filed under: Erinaceus europaeus (western European hedgehog)
Lineage: Eukaryota; Metazoa; Chordata; Mammalia; Eulipotyphla; Erinaceidae
Source: Rfam by way of RNAcentral